This 1896-nucleotide long non-coding RNA is filed under the name Helianthus annuus (common sunflower). Its description in RNAcentral is "hypothetical non coding rna". The record is from RNAcentral. Lineage: Eukaryota; Viridiplantae; Streptophyta; Magnoliopsida; Asterales; Asteraceae.
UUCGCUUAUCAAUUAGUAGCAUCCCGCAACUGCUCGAUUCCUGCUUUUCAGGGGCGUCUUAUACACUAUGUUGUUUAUGUAAAAUCAAUAUUUGAUGCUUCCAUUGGUCUGCCAAUUAGUACGUAUCUCUGAUUUGCCCAACAUUUGUUUGAUUAUCGUUAGUUUGAUGUGAAUCUGUUUAUUAUUACUAACGAAAUCGAAAGCUGGAUUGUCAUACAUUUGGAGUGUAUGAGUAGUCAUAUUUUGUUAUAAAACUUUUUUUUCUAGGGAUAAAAUGAAUAUAUGGGCUCAAAUGCAAGGACAGUACAGUAGCUGAUGUAGUUUACAAAUCAAGCUGGGACUUCAUUUUCUUGCAUACCACAACAACAACAUGUUUUGCAGAACUCUAAAGGUCCCCAUGAUCUGCUUAAUAUGGAGCUUGCACAACAGUUUAGACAAGAUAUGAUCUAAGUUCUUUUGAAUAUUUUUUUGGGGCUGACUAUAUGAUGAUCUCAUGGCUCGAUUGAAUAUAGGUAAUAGUGAGAGGGUCAUAAGGGACAUGCCAGAACAGUUUUCAUGUCAAAGCGCUAAGACCCAAUGGUUGCUGCAGCUGAAUUAGUUGUAUCUAUAUGAAGAUUAUGUAAAAAUCCUUAUGAUUUUAUAACAAACGACAGUUCUGUUGACCACUGCAUUUUCUCUAAAAAUGCGAGUAAUGUCAUUUGUGGCAAGGCAAGUACCCAAUGAAGUUUGCAUUUCUUUUUUUGAGUCCCAAGUGUUCGAUCAAAAGCCACAAUGAAGUUUGCAUUUCUUUUUUACAUUUUUUAAACUAUUUCAUCUUAAUGUUGAAGAUGGAUCUCUAAAAGUUCAAAGAAGAGGUCUUUUGAUGCACACGUAUCCGUGAGAGGGUACUUUAAAGUUGUUAGCUUUACAAUUAACUUCUAUAAAAGCUUAUAUGCAAUAUUUUGCUAUAUUUUUUCUAGGUACACAAGUUUGUAGGAUUGAAAGAACUAUAUUAUGUUGGUUGCCACAGGCUGCACACAAUGGGCUUGUUCAUCAGGCAGCCGAUCGGUGACAGUUUUUGGGCCGAUGGUUUAAUAUUACGGAUUUUGGAGGUGUUGGUGAUGGUAUUAGGAUGAAUACAACCAUCAGGAUGGAGUCAUUUUGCUCAAUUCACAAUAAUUGUGGUGAAUAAAGACCCCAAGAAAUCAAAAUAUUCUGAUACGUUACAUCGCUUCUGGAAGAAAGAGCAUGACUGGGGAUGGAAAAAGUUCAUGGAAUUAUCCAAAGUGUUAGACGGGCUUAUCGAUGUCGACACGCUCAUAAUAAAAGCUCAAGUCCAAGUUAUCAGGUUUUUAGGUACUUUAAUGAUCUAACGUAAAUUCAUCCAUAAUGUAUCUUAUUUUGUCGAUAUCUAUUUUGAUUGGUGCGUGUUCGAGCAAUUAAUGUUUGAUACUUUGAUUUCUUACGGAAAUAGAAUAAUAGCUGGUCUAACAAAUUCGGCGUAAAACGGUUAGAUUAUUUAAGACUAAUUGUACUUGAAUAGGAUAUAUUAACUCAAUAUAGCCAUAUUAAGUUAUUGCACUCGUGUGAUAAUACUACAUACACUUGAAUAGGAUAUAUUAACUCAAUAUUGUUGUUUGCCAAGAAAAGUUUAUCAUUUUGCUUCGUCUCCUCAAGUACCCGUCCACCGUAGUUAAUUAAAAAAUCGACCCAAGUCUCACAGUGGUUCAAACUUACUAGAGGUGGCAAUUGUGUCCUGUUUAAUUAUGAAUGUACUUGCAACCUACAGAAACCAAGGUAACGUACAAGCAAAUACAAUUUUGUGAAUGUAUUUCUCUUCUUUAAUGUAUAUUCAUUAAUGGCUGUGUAAUCCUAUAAAGGUGUUUAUGAUCUAUUGGGACGAACGAAAGAUCAAAU